GCCACCCAGGUGCCCUGACAGAUGUAUGUUCUCAAAGGACUGCUUUGAAUGCUCUAUGGAGGGCAAAUAGGUUGUAGAAAGGCAAAAGUGAAAAUAGUCCAGUUAGUUGGCUAUCUCAGGAGUCCAAGUGAGAGAUGUGGCUGGACUAAGGUGAUGGCAACAGAUUGCUCCUGAAAAGAUUUGUUGAUUUACUGGAUGUUUUGCUAAAGGAAGAAAAUAAUUCCACAGUCUUUUGCUUGAAAACAAUGGGACAAUUUGUAGUGAUAGGAAAGACAGUAGAGAAACAGUCAUGAGACAGCCAAUAAGCCAUUGGAGAUGUUAAGAGGGAGUUUUUCAUAUGAGACAGAAUCUCAGAGGAGAAGUCUGUUCUGGAAUUAGAAUUUCAGCAUUGUUAGCACAUAGACAGUAUUUACAUCAAGGGAAGAGCUGGAGAAAGGAUGUAUAGAUAGAGGAGGGAAAGUGGCUCCAUUUGGAUCCCUGAAGAACUUCAGCACUGAGACAUUGGAUGGAGGAGUUGACCGCGAAGGAGAUGUAGAAGAAAUAGUUGAUCAAAUGUGAUUUCAGUGAAACUAAGAGAGCUAGGCUUUGAGCUUGAAGAACUCCUUUUAGCAAUUCCUAUACAGCAGGUCUAGUGUGAACCUGCUCAGCUUUUGUUUGUCAGAGAAAGUCUUCAGAAGAAGGAGAACUUUGUCAGAAUUUUAUUUGAUAUUUGACAAAGCAAACACGUACUGGAAGGGAGAAUAUAACCGUAACCAAGAAAGGAGAUUUUACUAUGUUUGUGCAGUGGAGGACAUUGGAGAGCAGAGAAAGAAGAGGAAAAUGGAGGGAAGAAUUGAGAAAACAUUUUGGAAUGUUGUAUGCAUGGUCAAAAGAGGUCAAAAGUUAAAGAACCCAGAUGGUGCAUCAGAAUGGCAUUACUACUAGCUCUCUCAAGCCCUCCACCCCCACCCCCCACUUCAAACCCAAAUCUCUUCUCUUAAGAAUAAUGAAAAUGUUAUACUGAUGACAUGGAUGAAUACUAAUCCAUGCGAAAUAUCAAUUUUGUAAAGAAAAUUUAGAAAUAAAAAUUAUUCUAUCCAAAUUCCUCAUUCCUGUGGCUAGUCAAACUUUCCCUAGAUUUAAAUAAUAGCAAAGGAGAGAGCAAUAUUUAUAGUUGACUUUGUCAUUGUGGGAACACAAGCAACCUCAGCCUGAAGGAUGCUGAGACUUCAGAGGCAAGCAGGCAAAGAAAGGAGCAUAUGUUAGGACAAGCUGGCAUAAGAGAACUGGAGAGAAAUGUAAACCAGGCUACUUGUGGUUGUCUUUGCAAAGGCAUUUAGAUUUUAAGUCGUUUUUUAUUGCAGCUGGCAUCCAAUUACAGUGACGUGGCCAUGGGAGCUUAAGGACCAAGCACUGCCACUUUAUUUUUUUAUUGUUGCCUAUAUGCUAUAAAAUGGGUGAGUUUAAUGCCUAGAUCUUUGAGUAUAUGAUUUCUUCUGGAGGCAUGAUAAUCUCACAUCCUUUCAUAAAUGCCAUCUAGUCAUCCUCAUGUGGGCGCUCAGUGAAAGUCUAUAACAUUAUAAGAAAUGGAGUUAAAUAAAAUGCAUUUGAAUUUUAAAAGCUGCCCUUUAUUGCCCAUGAAAUACCCAGAGGUCUCCUUUUAGCACAAGAAGUCUCUUUUACACUUAUGGACAAUGGUAGCUAUUGCAGACCAUUAUAGAGUUAAGUUAGCACUUAGGUAAAAUUUGGUCAUUUUAUAAAAUCCUAAGGAGUCUAUGAUGUUUCCGGUUGUCAGAAAAGGUUCUGAAAAGUUAUCUAUGCUGCUGACACCAUGCACGUAAAAUUAGGUCCUGAAAUGUAGCUUGGACUCGUUGCAAACUGAAAUCUUUUCAAAGGUGAAAACACAGGAAGAAGGGAUCAAAUCAAAGAGUAACCAAAUUUGACAACUGCCACAAAGAGAAAAAUGGGGAAAGAAAUGACACUUUGUGUUUGAUCUUGAUCAUAACAUGGAGAAGUUUCCUCCUAAAAAAAGUGGCUUGAAUUCCCCCCUUUAAUUGAUUGGCAAAUAGACAAUGCUACACCUGUAAGCAGUCAGGUAAUAAGAGCAAUUAAAAACCAACCCUUCCAUUUAAAUAAGACCUUAUCAAAACUUGCUACCAGAACUUCCCUUUUGAAACAAUUCUUUUCAAAGGUUAAUUUCAACUGACAGUUGGAUAUUUAGCAUUCCUUUGUGGAAGUCAUUUCAAUUAAAAAUAGGAAUUUGUGCCUUGGGCCCAA
Molecule: long non-coding RNA, 2256 nt
Organism: Felis catus (domestic cat)
Lineage: Eukaryota; Metazoa; Chordata; Mammalia; Carnivora; Felidae
Exons: 5
Source: RefSeq, a predicted model, not a curated record